Molecule: ribosomal RNA, 503 nt
Filed under: uncultured bacterium
Lineage: Bacteria
Description: partial 16S ribosomal RNA
Rfam family: Bacterial small subunit ribosomal RNA
Source: RNAcentral
AUUGAACGCUGGCGGCAGGCUUAACACAUGCAAGUCGAGCGGGGUGAUGGUGCUUGCACUAUCACUUAGCGGCGGACGGGUGAGUAAUGCUUAGGAAUCUGCCUAUUAGUGGGGGACAACAUCUCGAAAGGGAUGCUAAUACCGCAUAUGUCCUACGGGAGAAAGCAGGGGAUCACUUGUGACCUUGCGCUAAUAGAUGAGCCUAAGUCGGAUUAGCUAGUUGGUGGGGUAAAGGCCUACCAAGGCGACGAUCAGUAGCGGGUCUGGGAGGAUGAUCCGCCACACUGGGACUGAGACACGGCCAAGACUCCUACGGGAGGCAGCAGUGGGGAAUAUUGGACAAUGGGGGGAACCCUGAUCCAGCCAUGCCGCGUGUGUGAAGAAGGCCUUAUGGUUGUAAAGCACUUUAAGCGAGGAGGAGGCUCUUUUGGUUAAUACCCAAGAUGAGUGGACGUUACUCGCAGAAUAAGCACCGGCUAACUCUGUGCCAGCCGCCGCGGUAA